Molecule: long non-coding RNA, 506 nt
Filed under: Heterocephalus glaber (naked mole-rat)
Lineage: Eukaryota; Metazoa; Chordata; Mammalia; Rodentia; Bathyergidae
Description: lncRNA (ENSHGLG00000041684.1)
Source: RNAcentral
GUGAGCCGGGCGGUAGAGUGGGCUGGUGGGUGAAAUGGAUGGGGCUCGACUCUGGCGCAGAUAGGGGAGGGGGGUGGCCCUGACGGCUUGGGGCCCAGGGUGGCAGUGGAGAUUGUGCACAGGGCCCGAGGUGGAGGUACAGGUCUCCAGGGCCAGAGGGAGGCCCCGAAAAAGAAGAAGGUGACAGGCCCGAUCCCCGGAGGACGGGGACCCGAGAAGGAAGAGUACACCAAAGAGGCAAUAAGUCAAUAUCAGUUCAACAACUGGAGUGAAGAUUUCGAAUAUGAGGAAGAGAAAGAAGCAGAAGAAAAACUAAAAACACUAAACAAGGAGUUGAAGGAUCUGAAAAGGACCUGGACCCAGCAGAUGGCAGCUCUUGAAACCCCAGGUUUAAGAAUAAAAAGAAGAUGAAAAAGAAGAAAGAAUCUGUUGUUCACUCUUUUUGAACUUAUCAGAAGCCCGUGGGAAAUUUUAAUACUGAUAACAUUUCAAAGUGCAUUGCCCCA